GACGAACGCUGGCGGCGUGCUUAACACAUGCAAGUCGAGCGGUAAGGCCCUUUCGGGGGUACACGAGCGGCGAACGGGUGAGUAACACGUGGGUGACCUGCCUUUAGCUCUGGGAUAAGCCCGGGAAACUGGGUCUAAUACCGGAUAUGACUCCAUGACGCAUGUUGUGGGGUGGAAAGCCUUGUGCGGCUGAGGAUGGGCCCGCGGCCUAUCAGCUUGUUGGUGGGGUGAUGGCCUACCAAGGCGACGACGGGUAGCCGGCCUGAGAGGGCGACCGGCCACACUGGGACUGAGACACGGCCCACGACUCCUACGGGAGGCAGCAGUGGGGAAUCUUGCGCAAUGGGCGAAAGCCUGACGCAGCGACGCCGCGUGAGGGAUGACGGCC
Molecule: ribosomal RNA, 388 nt
Filed under: uncultured bacterium
Lineage: Bacteria
Description: bacterial SSU rRNA
Rfam family: Bacterial small subunit ribosomal RNA
Source: RNAcentral